This 579-nucleotide unclassified non-coding RNA is filed under the name Hevea brasiliensis (rubber tree). The record is from RNAcentral. Lineage: Eukaryota; Viridiplantae; Streptophyta; Magnoliopsida; Malpighiales; Euphorbiaceae.
CCCCAAUGAACAGAUUAAUGGUGUGGUAAUAUCCCCCCAACAAAAAUUCCCCACAAAAAGAAAAAAGAGAAAAAUGCUAAUGAAAUACAGGAAUUUGAAUUUCUAUAUGACUUUAGACUAUGCUGAUCUCUAAUCAGGAUAAGACACUGUGCAAUUGGAAUGAGCAAACAGCCAAUGGUUAAUGCCGAUGUUGCUGUCUCAGUUGCAAUUCUUUCUGCUGUUGCUGGAAAUGAUAUCUGUUGAGUUGAGUGGGUUGCUGAAGAUGAUCAAUGGAAACUUGCUGAUAGGUGUCUCCCUUGAGCUCUGCAGCUGCAAGCCUUAGGUGCUGAACCUCUGCAACUAAUGUUUCAUUUAAAGCAUCUUUGAGUUUGGCUUGCUGUUCCAUUGCCUGAAGACAGAAUUUCAAUUCAUUGUUCUGGCUUGUAAGAGCUGCAGAAUCUCGCUGUAGUGCCGUAACCUGAGCAGACAACGUAGUUGCUUCUGCCUGUAAAGUUUGCACCUUGUGCUCUAAUUCUGAAAUGUACCGCGUUUUCCGCUCUUUGGAGCGGGCUGCUGACAGACGAUUGGCUAAAAUCCUUU